AUGCAAAUAUUUAUAACAAACUCCACUCAGCAUAGAGUAAACCUCAGAAUUCAAAUGACAGUCACUGACACCAGCUGGUCCUUUAUAGAAACUGACCCACCCACUGAGACACAGAACAUCAAUCCUAAACAUCGCCACUCUCCUCCCACAGGUUGGUCCCUAUCUACAUUCAUCAUCAGGCAGAACCUGCCAGUUAAUCACGAGACCCGGAUGAGAGACUGGGCCUGCGCCAAAGAAUUUAGAGAAGAACCAUUUGAGGGUUUAAUACUGAUUUACUUCAUUCUAUUGUUUUAUGGAACAAACUUAAUUCAAAUGAGUAUCCGCCUACUGAGUAUUUUUGGUAGAACUGUUUGGACUAUGAUUCAUCAGUUUGCUUUGAAUCUUCAUUGUUGUUUCUUGACAGCACUGUUACCUAAAUAAACUGUGAUUAACCUGUUGAUUUAUCGUCGCACUGUAAGGACAGCUGUGAAAACGCUAUGGACUUAACCUUACCACCUGUCAGCAAAGCCACGCAGUCACUGCCUUCACUGCCACCAUAAUCAUCAGCCACCACUCACACCAGAUCACACUCACCUGAAUUCUGAUCACCUGCACCUGCCGUUUCCAAUCAAGCCACCUUUAAGAACACGCUCCUCUCAGUCACUCAUUGUCCGGCCUACCGUUCAUAUUCCUGAACUGUUCCCAGACUCUAUGUGCACUACUUACCUGGGGGUACUUACCUCUAGAUCUCCUUAUGAUUCUCAGACGAUUCUCCAGUGUUGUUCCCCUCGGUUCCUUGUCUCCGAUCUCCUAUGAACCUGCAAAGAAACCACACAUCAGCAUACAGCUAAGAACCAUUGAACUGGUCAUAGUUUUUGAUACUCACUUGCUAUUUGAUCAUCACGAUCUGCUUUCACAAGCCUGUCAAUAAACCUGCCUGUUCAUUCACUUACCUGUUGUCUCUGACUCUAUCUGUGACACUUUACUUCUGUCAAGUUUCCCUUCGUCAAUAUUACCACACAGUUCACCCAGUCCUCCAGCCCAGCCACUGCCUGAUGUUUAAAGCCCUGCUGUGACGUCGA
Molecule: long non-coding RNA, 1061 nt
Organism: Cyprinus carpio carpio
Lineage: Eukaryota; Metazoa; Chordata; Actinopteri; Cypriniformes; Cyprinidae
Source: Ensembl